AGCUUAAGUUCAAUCUUGAUUUCACCCAAGAUCAUAUCAAAGGCUGUGUGGAUCUGCUAUUCUCUUCAAGCUACAAAAGUUUCCGUCACAAGUGUUAUGAACAUUAUGUAAAAUCUGGUGAUGAUGCUAGAAGCAAUCCAUAUCCUCCCCUUAUUGAUAAUAGAGUUGGAGACUGGAUUUGGCUCUGUGAUCAUUUUGAAACAGAAGAAUUUAAGAAACGGUCCACAAUUGGGAAGGCUAACCGCUCAAACCUACCUUAUGUUCACAAGAAGGGAACAAAGUCAUUUGUAGCGGUUCAACAUGAAUUAGAGAUGACCUUGGAGGAGCAGCGGAAAGCAAUACUCGCGCUAAAGACUGAGAAGAGAAAACUAGUUGGAUCUAAAGAAAAUUCAGUGUACAAAUGCUAAAUGUAAUGUUUGGAUCAUAUUGGGGUUUACUGAUUGGAUCAUAUGUUCAGAUCAGUACUAAACGUGGUACUGUACUUUGCAAAUGCUAGAGUGGUAUUUCCUACUUGCAAAACAAAAUUCAGUUUAGCAUGUAAUGUUUGGAUCAUAAGUUUACAAAUGUUGAUUCUGAA
Triticum dicoccoides is the source of this 577-nucleotide long non-coding RNA. RefSeq lists it as uncharacterized. The record is from RefSeq and is a predicted model, not a curated record. NCBI's taxonomy places the organism in Eukaryota, Viridiplantae, Streptophyta, Magnoliopsida, Poales, Poaceae. The transcript is spliced from 3 exons.